RNAcentral lists this long non-coding RNA (985 nucleotides) under Zonotrichia albicollis (white-throated sparrow). Its description in RNAcentral is "lncRNA (ENSZALG00000017061.1)". The record is from RNAcentral. Lineage: Eukaryota; Metazoa; Chordata; Aves; Passeriformes; Passerellidae.
GAAAUCAGCAACAUAGAGCACUUGAGACCUCUCUGAUGACCUUUCUAUACCUGUGAAGUUUGAAUAAACCAAAUAACACCACCAUGGGAUUAAACUAAAUUUUAAGGCCACUUGGGAGAUCAUAAAAUGCUUACACAUUUAACUCUUGGUUUGGUUUUUUUGCUCUACUUGUGUCUUAGUCAUUUCUACACCUCUGAAAGCGUUCUGCACUCCCAGCUGCUCUGCCAAGAGAAUCUCUAAGAUCCACGCUAAUUACAUGGGUGGGUUUGGUGACCACAGCUUAAAUUUCAAAUGGCAAUAUGCAGAUCUUGAAUAUUUUCUGUUCUAUAUCAGAGCUGCAUGAUUUUGGAACACCUCAGUUUGAGCUUCAGUAGCAUACAGGAUUUGUCUUUUAAUAACUCAGUGUAGGAGAACUGCAGUACCCCAACCGUCUGCUUUCUGCUGAACUCCCUGAAGUAGCCAAUUUUGUCUUGCAGACGUGGCUGCUGCACAUGCUGAGUGCUGAUUGCAAGUAUUAUCUUAAGAGAAUCACUUCUCAAUAUUUAGGAACGUGACUCUUCUUUCAAAGGCAUGCUUUUGGGCUUUUAUACCCCUGCUGGCUUCAUCUCACCAGGAGCUACCUGUCAGACGCCAUCCUUCAGUUCCACAGCUGCCUUUGCUGCCGGCUGUGUUUAUCAAAAAAAAAAAAAAAAAUGGGAGGAAGAAGAGGACUGGAAAAAACCCAACAAUCUGCACCUUCUUAAGAAGCAAAGAAAGCAGCCUGGCAAGAAAAAGAAAACCUGUGUUCUAGUGCAAGCAGGGUCUGAGAAGGGCCUGAAACCAAGACUCAGAGCCUUUGGGCAGCCUAAUCUGCCUUACAGAGAGCUCAUGAAAAUUGAAUGCAGGCUGCUGCUGUAAAAUAUGGUUUGCCUGUCUCUCCUGUGCUAUACAUAUUUGCUUUCUGAUUGCCCUGAAGACUUCAGAAUAAAUUCCGUACUGUGUGGCA